UACGGAAGGGGCAAGCGUUGUUCGGAAUCAUUGGGCGUGAAGGGCGCGUAGGUGGUUCUGUAUGUCUACCGUGAAAGCGUACGGCUCAACCGUAUUUUGUCGGUGGAAACUGCAGGACUUGAGGCUGGGAGGGGCUGGUGGAAUUCCCUGUGUAGCGGUGAAAUGCGUAGAGAUGGGGGAGAACACUCGUGGCGAAGGCGGCCAGCUAGACCAGUUCUGACACUGAGGCGCGACAGCGUGGGGAGCAAACAGG
Molecule: ribosomal RNA, 253 nt
Filed under: uncultured bacterium
Lineage: Bacteria
Description: partial 16S ribosomal RNA
Rfam family: Bacterial small subunit ribosomal RNA
Source: RNAcentral